Molecule: regulatory RNA element, 124 nt
Organism: Propionispora sp. 2/2-37
Lineage: Bacteria; Bacillati; Bacillota; Negativicutes; Selenomonadales; Sporomusaceae
Rfam family: Ribosomal protein L20 leader
About the family: This family is a putative r-protein leader autoregulatory structure found in B. subtilis and other low-GC Gram-positive bacteria. It is located in the 5' untranslated regions of mRNAs encoding initiation factor 3 followed by ribosomal proteins L35 and L20 (infC-rpmI-rplT).
Source: Rfam
GUUAUUAAGUGGAAGCCAUCCGCUUCUCACCUUGCGGCUUUAGCUAGUAAGGUUAAUAUGGGCAUGGUUUGAUUGUGCUUUUUAGCGGGUGGCAUGUAUGUGCCAUCCGUUUUUAUUUUAGUUC